GACGGAGGGUGCAAGCGUUGUUCGGAUUGACUGGGCGUAAAGGGCGUGUAGGCGGUCGGUUAAGUCUGAUGUGAAAGCCCGGGGCUCAGCUCCGGAAGUGCGUCGGAAACUAGCUGGCUGGAGCGCGAUAGAGGAGGGUGGAAUUCCUGGUGUAGCGGUGAAAUGCGUAGAUAUCAGGAGGAACACCGGCGGCGAAGGCGGCCCUCUGGAUCGUUGCUGACGCUGAGACGCGAAAGCGUGGGGAG
RNAcentral lists this ribosomal RNA (245 nucleotides) under uncultured bacterium. RNAcentral's name for it is "partial 16S ribosomal RNA". It matches the Rfam family "Bacterial small subunit ribosomal RNA", at positions 524 to 768 of the family's 1533-position model. The record is from RNAcentral.